Molecule: ribosomal RNA, 281 nt
Filed under: Bacillus subtilis subsp. natto
Lineage: Bacteria; Bacillati; Bacillota; Bacilli; Caryophanales; Bacillaceae
Description: partial 16S ribosomal RNA
Rfam family: Bacterial small subunit ribosomal RNA
Source: RNAcentral
AACUCCGGGAAACCGGGGCUAAUACCGGAUGGUUGUUUGAACCGCAUGGUUCAAACAUAAAAGGUGGCUUCGGCUACCACUUACAGAUGGACCCGCGGCGCAUUAGCUAGUUGGUGAGGUAACGGCUCACCAAGGCAACGAUGCGUAGCCGACCUGAGAGGGUGAUCGGCCACACUGGGACUGAGACACGGCCCAGACUCCUACGGGAGGCAGCAGUAGGGAAUCUUCCGCAAUGGACGAAAGUCUGACAGAACAACGCCGCGUGAGUGAUGAAGGUUUUC